RNAcentral lists this ribosomal RNA (1429 nucleotides) under Serratia rubidaea. RNAcentral describes it as "bacterial SSU rRNA". It matches the Rfam family "Bacterial small subunit ribosomal RNA". The record is from RNAcentral. Lineage: Bacteria; Pseudomonadati; Pseudomonadota; Gammaproteobacteria; Enterobacterales; Yersiniaceae.
GCGGCUACACAUGCAGUCGAGCGGCAGCGGGAGGAAGCUUGCUUCCUCGCCGGCGAGCGGCGGACGGGUGAGUAAUGUCUGGGGAUCUGCCCGAUGGAGGGGGAUAACCACUGGAAACGGUGGCUAAUACCGCAUAACGUCGCAAGACCAAAGUGGGGGACCUUCGGGCCUCACACCAUCGGAUGAACCCAGAUGGGAUUAGCUAGUAGGUGGGGUAAUGGCUCACCUAGGCGACGAUCCCUAGCUGGUCUGAGAGGAUGACCAGCCACACUGGAACUGAGACACGGUCCAGACUCCUACGGGAGGCAGCAGUGGGGAAUAUUGCACAAUGGGCGCAAGCCUGAUGCAGCCAUGCCGCGUGUGUGAAGAAGGCCUUCGGGUUGUAAAGCACUUUCAGCGAGGAGGAAGGUGGUGAACUUAAUACGUUCAUCAAUUGACGUUACUCGCAGAAGAAGCACCGGCUAACUCCGUGCCAGCAGCCGCGGUAAUACGGAGGGUGCAAGCGUUAAUCGGAAUUACUGGGCGUAAAGCGCACGCAGGCGGUUUGUUAAGUCAGAUGUGAAAUCCCCGAGCUUAACUUGGGAACUGCAUUUGAAACUGGCAGGCUAGAGUCUCGUAGAGGGGGGUAGAAUUCCAGGUGUAGCGGUGAAAUGCGUAGAGAUCUGGAGGAAUACCGGUGGCGAAGGCGGCCCCCUGGACGAAGACUGACGCUCAGGUGCGAAAGCGUGGGGAGCAAACAGGAUUAGAUACCCUGGUAGUCCACGCCGUAAACGAUGUCGAUUUGGAGGUUGUGCCCUUGAGGCGUGGCUUCCGGAGCUAACGCGUUAAAUCGACCGCCUGGGGAGUACGGCCGCAAGGUUAAAACUCAAAUGAAUUGACGGGGGCCCGCACAAGCGGUGGAGCAUGUGGUUUAAUUCGAUGCAACGCGAAGAACCUUACCUACUCUUGACAUCCAGAGAACUUUCCAGAGAUGGAUUGGUGCCUUCGGGAACUCUGAGACAGGUGCUGCAUGGCUGUCGUCAGCUCGUGUUGUGAAAUGUUGGGUUAAGUCCCGCAACGAGCGCAACCCUUAUCCUUUGUUGCCAGCGGUUCGGCCGGGAACUCAAAGGAGACUGCCAGUGAUAAACUGGAGGAAGGUGGGGAUGACGUCAAGUCAUCAUGGCCCUUACGAGUAGGGCUACACACGUGCUACAAUGGCGUAUACAAAGAGAAGCGAACCUGCGAGGGUAAGCGGACCUCAUAAAGUACGUCGUAGUCCGGAUUGGAGUCUGCAACUCGACUCCAUGAAGUCGGAAUCGCUAGUAAUCGUAGAUCAGAAUGCUACGGUGAAUACGUUCCCGGGCCUUGUACACACCGCCCGUCACACCAUGGGAGUGGGUUGCAAAAGAAGUAGGUAGCUUAACCUUCGGGAGGGCGCUUACCACUUUGA